UAAACGACUCUCGACAACGGAUAUCUCGGCUCUCGCAUCGAUGAAGAACGUAGCGAAAUGCGAUACUUGGUGUGAAUUGCAGAAUCCCGCGAACCAUCGAGUCUUUGAACGCAAGUUGCGCCCGAAGCCAUUAGGUUGAGGGCACGUCUGCCUGGGCGUCUCAC
Molecule: ribosomal RNA, 164 nt
Filed under: Camellia euphlebia
Lineage: Eukaryota; Viridiplantae; Streptophyta; Magnoliopsida; Ericales; Theaceae
Description: 5.8S ribosomal RNA
Rfam family: 5.8S ribosomal RNA
About the family: 5.8S ribosomal RNA (5.8S rRNA) is a component of the large subunit of the eukaryotic ribosome. It is transcribed by RNA polymerase I as part of the 45S precursor that also contains 18S and 28S rRNA. Functionally, it is thought that 5.8S rRNA may be involved in ribosome translocation.
Source: RNAcentral